Bacillus sp. B-jedd is the source of this 171-nucleotide regulatory RNA element. It matches the Rfam family "glmS glucosamine-6-phosphate activated ribozyme aptamer". Rfam says of the family: This entry contains a glucosamine-6-phosphate activated ribozyme that is found in the mRNA for GlmS. GlmS is an enzyme that uses fructose-6-phosphate and glutamine to generate glucosamine-6-phosphate. The record is from Rfam. Lineage: Bacteria; Bacillati; Bacillota; Bacilli; Caryophanales; Bacillaceae.
ACCAAUUUUAAAGCGCCAGAACUAACCCGGACGGAGAUAAGGUUAGUUGACGAGGUGGAGGUUUAUCGAAUGUUUCGGCGGAUGCCUCCCGGCCGCAAGUGCACGGCCGUUUUCCUGCUCCUUAAAUCAUUGAGGCGACUCAAUGGACAAAGGGAAGCAGGCUGCACAGGA